RNAcentral lists this transfer RNA (64 nucleotides) under Metacrangonyx longipes. Its description in RNAcentral is "transfer RNA Tryptophan". The record is from RNAcentral. Lineage: Eukaryota; Metazoa; Arthropoda; Malacostraca; Amphipoda; Metacrangonyctidae.
UAAAUUUUAAGUUAUAUAAACUAAGAACCUUCAAAGUUCUCAAAAAGAAAACUCUUAAAUUUAA